GUGUCAGCCGCCGCGGUAAUACGGGGGGUGCGAGCGUUGUUCGGAAUUAUUGGGCGUAAAGAGCGUGUAGGCGGCUGGAUCAGUCAGAUGUGAAAUCCCUGGGCUUAACCCAGGACGUGCAUUUGAAACUGUCCAGCUUGAGUAGGGGAGAGGAAAGUGGAAUUCCUGGUGUAGAGGUGAAAUUCGUAGAUAUCAGGAGGAACACCGGUGGCGAAGGCGACUUUCUGGCCCUAUACUGACGCUGAGACGCGAGAGCGUGGGUAGCAAACAGGAUUAGAUACCCUGGUAGUCCACGCUGUAAACGAUGUUCACUAGGUGUUGGGGGUAUUGACCCUCUCAGUGCCGCAGCUAACGCAUUAAGUGAACCGCCUGGGGAGUACGGUCGCAAGAUUAAAACUCAAAGAAAUUGACGG
This 413-nucleotide ribosomal RNA is filed under the name uncultured bacterium. RNAcentral describes it as "bacterial SSU rRNA". It matches the Rfam family "Bacterial small subunit ribosomal RNA", at positions 505 to 916 of the family's 1533-position model. The record is from RNAcentral.